AAGUCGUAACAAGGUUUCCGUAGGGGAACCUGCGGAAGGAUCAUUAACGUAUCGACGAUGCCAUUAUUGGUGUUGUUAUACAUUAAUAGUCAUAUACUUCUUUGAAUGCAAUCUUUUUUACUUGUUUUACAAGUGAAAGAGACGGUCACUACGUAGAUGCAGACUGAUGAGAAAACCGCCAUCACGAGUCUUCGUUUUAGUGAUCGACACAUAUUUAGUCAACGCCAUUAUGCGGUGGGCGUGAAACAUUCAUUUGUUAUGAAUAUAUUUUUUUUUAUUAAAACCAACCAAAUAAUCCACAAAUCAUUACCCUGGACGGUGGAUCACUUGGCUCGCGG
RNAcentral lists this unclassified non-coding RNA (338 nucleotides) under fungal sp. RNAcentral's name for it is "partial internal transcribed spacer region". The stretch from base 1 to 46 matches the Rfam family "Eukaryotic small subunit ribosomal RNA", at positions 1786 to 1831 of the family's 1831-position model. The record is from RNAcentral. Lineage: Eukaryota; Fungi.